GACCGCUCCAGCAGCCUAGUGCUUAGAGCGGCCGCCACAGAUGCGGUAGGUGGCGGGUUCGAACCCCGGCUGAGUCA
Molecule: non-coding RNA, 77 nt
Organism: Potamilus streckersoni
Lineage: Eukaryota; Metazoa; Mollusca; Bivalvia; Unionida; Unionidae
Source: the annotation of a GenBank genome assembly